AGUGAGCGCUGGCGGUAGGCCUAACACAUGCAAGUCGAACGGCAGCACAGUAAGAGCUUGCUCUUACGGGUGGCGAGUGGCGGACGGGUGAGGAAUACAUCGGAAUCUACUUUUUCGUGGGGGAUAACGUAGGGAAACUUACGCUAAUACCGCAUACGACCUACGGGUGAAAGCAGGGGAUCUUCGGACCUUGCGCGAUUGAAUGAGCCGAUGUCGGAUUAGCUAGUUGGCGGGGUAAAGGCCCACCAAGGCGACGAUCCGUAGCUGGUCUGAGAGGAUGAUCAGCGACACUGGAACUGAGACACGGUCCAGACUCCUACGGGAGGCAGCAGUGGGGAAUAUUGGACAAUGGGCGCAAGCCUGAUCCAGCCAUACCGCGUGUGUGAAGAAGGCCUUCGGGUUGUAAAGCCCUUUUGUUGGGAAAGAAAAGCAGCAGGUUAAUACCCCGCUGUUCUGACGGUACCCAAAGAAUAAGCACCGGCUAACUUCGUG
Molecule: ribosomal RNA, 492 nt
Filed under: uncultured bacterium
Lineage: Bacteria
Description: partial 16S ribosomal RNA
Rfam family: Bacterial small subunit ribosomal RNA
Source: RNAcentral